Molecule: unclassified non-coding RNA, 385 nt
Filed under: uncultured bacterium
Lineage: Bacteria
Description: contains 16S-23S intergenic spacer region
Source: RNAcentral
UCCUGGUUUCCCAGGCAGUCCCGCUAGAGUGCCUCACAAAAGUGAGUAGCAACUAACAGCAAGGGUUGCGCUCGUUAAAGGACUUAACCCAACAUCUCACGACACGAGCUGACGACAGCCAUGCAGCACCUGUGAUACUGUCUGAACCGAAAUCCAGAAGAUUGUGUUUCUACAACUGUCAGUAACAUGUCAAACCCAGGUAAGGUGCCUCGCGUAGUGUCGAAUUAAACCACAUGUUCCACCGCUUGUGCGGACCCCCGUCAAUUCCUUUAAGUUUUAGUCUUGCGACCGUACUCCCCAGGCGAACCACUUAACGCGUUAGCUACGACACUGAUCCAGCGAACCAGACCAACAUCUAGUGGUUAUCGUUUACGGCGUGGACUAC